GGUAAAAAAGCUCGUAGUUGGAUUUCUGUCGAGAAUGAGCGGUCCAAACCAUGUUUGUGUAUCUGUUUCAGUUUCGGCAUCCUUUUGAAAUACAUCUCUGCGCUUGAUUGCGUGGAAUGGAGUUCAAAACUUUUACUUUGAGGAAAUUAGAGUGUUCACGGCAGGCUAUCGCCCGAAUACGUUAGCAUGGAAUAAUGAUAUAGGAUCUCGAUUCUAUUUUGUUGGUUUCUAAAAUUGAGGUAAUGAUUAAUAGGGACAAUUGGGGGCAUUUGUAUCAUCGCGUCAGAGGUGGAAUUCUUGGAUUGCGAUGCGACAAACUACUGCGAAAGCAUUUGCCAAGGAUGUUUUCAUUGAUCAAGAACGAAAGUAUGGGGAUCGAAGAUGAUUAGAUACCGUCGUAGUCCUUACCACAAACUAUGUCAACCUGAGAUCGGGCAUCGUUCAUUUUUGACUUGCUCGGCACCAUAUGAGAUAUCUGAGUUUUUAGAUUCCGGGGGGAGUACGUUUGCAAGAAUGGAACUUAAAGGAAUUGACGGAAGGGCACCACCAGGAGUGGAGCCUGCGGCUUAAUUUGACUCAACACGGGAAAACUCACCAGGUCCAGACAUAAUAAGGAUUGACAGAUUGAUAGCUCUUUCUUGAUUUUAUGGGUGGUGGUGCAUGGCCGUUCCUAGUUCGUGGAGUGAUUUGUCUGCUUAAUUGCGUUAACGA
This 711-nucleotide ribosomal RNA is filed under the name uncultured marine alveolate. RNAcentral describes it as "bacterial SSU rRNA". It matches the Rfam family "Eukaryotic small subunit ribosomal RNA", at positions 617 to 1334 of the family's 1831-position model. The record is from RNAcentral.